CGGGAUAUAGCGCAGCCUGGUAGCGCGCACCCUUGGGGUGGGUGAGGUCGUGGGUUCAAAUCCCGCUAUCCCGACCA
This 77-nucleotide transfer RNA is filed under the name Collibacillus ludicampi. RNAcentral describes it as "tRNA-Pro". It matches the Rfam family "tRNA". From Rfam's summary of the family: Transfer RNA (tRNA) molecules are approximately 80 nucleotides in length. Their secondary structure includes four short double-helical elements and three loops (D, anti-codon, and T loops). Further hydrogen bonds mediate the characteristic L-shaped molecular structure. tRNAs have two regions of fundamental functional importance: the anti-codon, which is responsible for specific mRNA codon recognition, and the 3' end, to which the tRNAs corresponding amino acid is attached (by aminoacyl-tRNA synthetases). tRNAs cope with the degeneracy of the genetic code in two manners: having more than one tRNA (with a specific anti-codon) for a particular amino acid; and 'wobble' base-pairing, i.e. permitting non-standard base-pairing at the 3rd anti-codon position. The record is from RNAcentral. Lineage: Bacteria; Bacillati; Bacillota; Bacilli; Caryophanales; Alicyclobacillaceae.